CAGAAGUCUUGCUCAAUGCUCCUGGCUGAAUAAACCAUUUCCUUCUUUAACUCAGUGUCUGAGGAGUUUUGUCUGCGGCUCGUCCUGCUACAUUUCUUGGUUCCCUGACCGGGAAGCGAGGUGAUUGGCAGAUGGUCGAGGCAGCUCCUUAGGCGGCUAAAGCCUGCCCUGUGGAACAUCCCUGCAGGGGACUCUGACCAGCCUGAGCGACGUGGAUCCUGAGAGCGCUUCUGGGUAGGCAUUUGCCCCAGUGGGAUGCCUCACCAGAGCAGUGUGUGGAAGGCCCCCAUGGAGUCUCAACACGGUGGCUGAACACCGGGAAGGAACUGGUAUUUGGAGUCCGGACAUCUGAAACUUGGUCAGUGAGAGAGCAUAUGCCCUGGUAGAUUCCUGAGAAAAGGAACAGGAGGAUGAGAGGUUCAAUGUUUUACACAUUGCUGGUCUGAUAGCUCAGCUUCAUUCACAGAGAAAGACACUGAAGGAAUUAAAUCAGCUUGUCCAGCAGCAAGCUUCAGAGCCAAAUAUAAGCACACCUCAUAAUUCAGAGACCUCGUGAUGGGUCCUCAGAAGACACACCCAGCAGCUGCCAAAUGAACAGCAGAUGACGGAAAGGGGCCCUUGGCCUGAUCUCUCAUGGGAGACAGUGACCUUUCCUGAGUUGAAGAUGGUGAAAUGCCAGAAGGAGCUGAUGAGGCUGUCCCACACACUGACACUGCUAUGAUAUCAUGAUUGAAUUUCACUUUUUUCUCCCACCAUAAUGUAAUUUCUGGGCAGUGAUUGGGGUGUUGAUUCAUAAACACCCCUUACUGUUCUGCAUUGGAUUAAUCAUGAUGUACUGUCUUUUUCUCACUAUUUACAAAGUACAGCACCAUGAGAAUCCCUGAAUUUUAGAAUAAGUUUCUCUCCACUGGAAUAUAACACAUAUUUUGGGUUCUUUGCCUGGACUGGUCAUUUCUUUCUUUUACUAAUUGUUGUGAAAGAAUGACAGAGAUGUACAACAUGGUUUUUGAAUGGAUGCUGAGUUUAACUCUCCCGCUUACCAGAGAUAAAGUUGGCCAUACACACACGUCUCUUAUAUAAGAGUUUAUUCAUUGGCAGACACUUUGAUGAUGACAUUGAGUUAGAUGAAAUACUGGUUCCAGUUUGUAGCACUUUAUGAAUUUUCAUGUAAAGUGAUCAUUCAAUUUAAGGUUUCUGCACACAUCUUACAAAGCAUAUCUGUUUAUCAGAGCUCAUUUACUUAAGAGGAUUAAAAUGAAAUCUCUCCUCAUGAGCCAAGGGUGAAAUAGCUAGUGUCCGCUCCUAAAUAUGUGAACUAAUAUGUUUUUCCAUGGGCAAGCAAGAUUUUGUUUUUCUCCUAUUUUUCUUCUUCAGAAGGAAAUGAUUAAAAUAUUAAUAACACAAAAAUAAAUAUACAUUAUAAAACUCAAAAAAAUAAGGAUUUUUAUUGGAGUAAAGUUUUUAGUGGAGUAAAUUAUACAAUAUUAAAAAAG
Molecule: long non-coding RNA, 1493 nt
Filed under: Homo sapiens (human)
Lineage: Eukaryota; Metazoa; Chordata; Mammalia; Primates; Hominidae
Description: PREDICTED lncRNA (TCONS_00250763)
Source: RNAcentral